RNAcentral lists this ribosomal RNA (433 nucleotides) under uncultured bacterium. RNAcentral describes it as "partial 16S ribosomal RNA". It matches the Rfam family "Bacterial small subunit ribosomal RNA", at positions 29 to 507 of the family's 1533-position model. The record is from RNAcentral.
AACGAACGCUGGCGGCAUGCCUAACACAUGCAAGUCGAACGAGACCUUCGGGUCUAGUGGCGCACGGGUGCGUAACGCGUGGGAAUCUGCCCUUGGGUUCGGAAUAACAGUUGGAAACGACUGCUAAUACCGGAUGAUGACGUAAGUCCAAAGAUUUAUCGCCCAAGGAUGAGCCCGCGUAGGAUUAGCUAGUUGGUGAGGUACAGGCUCACCAAGGCGACGAUCCUUAGCUGGUCUGAGAGGAUGAUCAGCCACACUGGGACUGAGACACGGCCCAGACUCCUACGGGAGGCAGCAGUGGGGAAUAUUGGACAAUGGGCGAAAGCCUGAUCCAGCAAUGCCGCGUGAGUGAUGAAGGCCUUAGGGUUGUAAAGCUCUUUUACCCGGGAUGAUAAUGACAGUACCGGGAGAAUAAGCUCCGGCUAACUCCGUG